UACGUAGGGUGCGAGCGUUAAUCGGAAUUACUGGGCGUAAAGUGUGCGCAGGCGGCAGAGCAAGUCGAGUGUGAAAGCCCCGGGCUUAACUUGGGAAUUGCGCUCGAAACUACUUUGCUGGAGUGUGGCAGAGGAAGGUGGAAUUCCACGUGUAGCGGUGAAAUGCGUAGAGAUGUGGAGGAACACCAAUGGCGAAGGCAGCCUUCUGGGCCGAUACUGACGCUGAGGAGCGAAAGCCAGGGGAGCAAACGGG
This 253-nucleotide ribosomal RNA is filed under the name uncultured bacterium. RNAcentral's name for it is "partial 16S ribosomal RNA". It matches the Rfam family "Bacterial small subunit ribosomal RNA", at positions 524 to 776 of the family's 1533-position model. The record is from RNAcentral.